AACCAUGUACCAACGAAGCUUCUUAUGGCUUCAUCUCCUCUAGUCCACUGGUUUUUCAGUAUCUCCUUAUCAACCUCAUUGACAUGCAUCAUGUUCUGAAGGUUUCCAAUGCAGUCAUGCUGCAUUCUAAGUUUGGUGUGAAUUGUCUCCUCGAUGUCCUCCAAUCUCUGGGGAAAAUCCUCUCUCAUCAAGUCUUGAGAAAAAUUAUUCUCAUCAAUCUUGUCUUCUAACAAUUUCACUAUUACCAGCCUUCCUCGCAACGAUGCGUGCCUAUUUUCAAUUGAUGGUCGAGUGUAACCGUCGAUCGAUGCUUCUGAUCAGACUGCAUUCUGUCUCCGAAUCAUGUUCAUCUCCUCUUUCAGCUCAUCCAUGCGUAUAGUCAACCUUUCAAUGCUGUCAUUGAGUGGGUAGUAGACAUCAUCGAGCCUCUUGUAGGAUUCUUCUAGUGACAGCUCCUUGGCUUUCUAGAUCCCAUGUACCAUAUCAUCAAUAUCUGCUCUGUUAUAACUGCCUAACUCUAGCAUGGUUCUGGUGAACUUCUCUGCAUGUUCUGGUACACAGAUAUGACCUUGUUCAUGCAUUGUAGCUCUUUCCAGAAUUUCUCUGAUGUCUUCCUUAGAAACAUGAAUGAUUAUGCCAUCUGGCGCUCGUGCAUAUCCAUGCUCGUCCCUGUAUACGCCGUAUUCAUCUUUUGUUUCCCACU
RNAcentral lists this long non-coding RNA (703 nucleotides) under Brassica napus (rape). RNAcentral describes it as "long non-coding RNA (BNAP_LNC009985)". The record is from RNAcentral. Lineage: Eukaryota; Viridiplantae; Streptophyta; Magnoliopsida; Brassicales; Brassicaceae.